UACAGAGGGUGCGAGCGUUGUUCGGAAUUAUUGGGCGUAAAGAGCUCGUAGGCGGUGUGUCACGUCGGCCGUGAAAACCUGCAGCUUAACUGUGGGCGUGCGGUCGAUACGGGCAUCACUGGAGUUCGGCAGGGGAGACUGGAAUUCCUGGUGUAGCGGCGGAAUGCGCAGAUAUCAGGAGGAACACCGAUGGCGAAGGCAGAUCUCUGGGCCGUAACUGACGCUGAGGAGCGAAAGCAUGGGGAGCGAACAGG
Molecule: ribosomal RNA, 254 nt
Filed under: uncultured bacterium
Lineage: Bacteria
Description: partial 16S ribosomal RNA
Rfam family: Bacterial small subunit ribosomal RNA
Source: RNAcentral